GGGACGGGGCGCUGAACCGUGAGGGGAAGAGGGAGCCAUUUCUCUCCACUGAGUGCCACCUCCGUGAUCCCAGCUCCCAUUUUCCCGGAAUCCGGAGGCCUCGUCAGCCAAGGCCUGCGCGAUGCUGGAUAUUUUCAUCCUGAUGUUCUUUGCCAUCAUAGGCUUGGUCGUUCUGUCCUACAUUAUCUAUCUGCUCUAGUCCUGCAGCGGCGGCCGGGAGGCGCUGACCGACUCCGGGGCAAGGAUGAAGCUACCCGCCCAGACACCCUGCUUGCUGACGCACCGGUGGAUUUUUGCUGCUGGUCGUUAUUUCGGCUCCUGGUCUCCAGUCCAACAAGAGGCCUCACCUCAACCUCUUCCAGAGUCCUCCGGAUACGGUUAACCCUGAUCAAGCUGAAAUCAGAGGCAGAGGCACUCGGCUGGGACAUCAGAAAUUCAUGAGCAUGGCUGACAGAUGCUACGUGGGUUUGAGCUGUAGAUAGAGGGUGUUGGAAAUGCAGGGAGCGGAAAUGUAGACUCGUUAACAUUAAAAUGUAGACUGCUCAAAACUUCAUUUUUAUAGCCUUUCCUGAGUCUGAAUGCAAUGCAUAUUGUGCUCAACGUUUUUCCUCUCACUUGCAGGAUGCCCUUGAAAGUUCAGGAGCAUGUUGUGGGUCUUCAUCAACGAAGUUGUCACGUUAGAGACUGCACAAUCUGAGGUUGUGUGGUUUCCCUUGUCCCUCUCUAGCCAGAAGAAACUUGUCAUUUGACUUGCAAAGAUUCAUCUUAGCUCCCCACUUGUGCCCCAGCUUCUCAUUUAAAGGCAGAGACAGUUUAUAUAGUACUCACUUUAUGUCUGAUGGUUUUAUAAAUUAUUAAAAUGAUGGCAAUACUAUUUGAAUGAAAAAUAUCUCUUACCCUGUGAAUGUUUUUUUAUAUUGCCAAACAUUCCUUUUCUGAAAACAAAAACUCCCAAAAUGUUUUUUUGUUUUUUGUCCAAUUAGGAAUGCGAAAACCAUAUAUUUUGGGGUCCAGAGUAGAAUUAGGGUCCAAAUCUGUGGUAUCUAUUCCUUCAAGAAGCCCACAUUAAUUGUUCUACAUCUGAUUUUCCUUUGUAACUUAAAAAUAAGCAAGAACCUAUAACUAGUUUUUAUUUAUAACAUUGUGUUGAAUUUCCAUGUUUUAAAAAGAAAAUUGAGGCAGUAAGAUAUAUGCAACAACUAAAAUGGGAAACUUGCAUUUAAAAUUUUUGGUUAAAAAAACUGUUCUAAAAGUUUUGUGUCUUGGCAAUAAAUUAUGUGACCUUUAAUAAGUUA
This is a long non-coding RNA of Condylura cristata (star-nosed mole), 1295 nucleotides long. RefSeq lists it as uncharacterized. The transcript has 2 exons. The record is from RefSeq and is a predicted model, not a curated record. NCBI's taxonomy places the organism in Eukaryota, Metazoa, Chordata, Mammalia, Eulipotyphla, Talpidae.